RNAcentral lists this ribosomal RNA (246 nucleotides) under uncultured bacterium. RNAcentral describes it as "partial 16S ribosomal RNA". It matches the Rfam family "Bacterial small subunit ribosomal RNA", at positions 523 to 769 of the family's 1533-position model. The record is from RNAcentral.
AUACGUAGGUGGCGAGCGUUGUCCGGAAUUAUUGGGCGUAAAGCGCGCGCAGGUGGGAUCUUAAGUCUGUUUUUAAAGUGCGGAGCUUAACUCCGUGAAGGGAUGGAAACUGGGAUUCUUGAGUACCGGAGAGGAAAGCGGAAUUCCCCGUGUAGCGGUGAAAUGCGUAGAUAUGGGGAGGAACACCAGUGGCGAAGGCGGCUUUCUGGACGGUGUCUGACACUGAGGCGCGAAAGCCAGGGGAGC